UGGCUCAGGGGUUAAGAGCACUGGUUGCUCUUAACCAGAAGACCUGGGUUCAAUUCCCAG
This 60-nucleotide transfer RNA is filed under the name Neotoma lepida (desert woodrat). It matches the Rfam family "tRNA", at positions 8 to 63 of the family's 71-position model. Rfam says of the family: Transfer RNA (tRNA) molecules are approximately 80 nucleotides in length. Their secondary structure includes four short double-helical elements and three loops (D, anti-codon, and T loops). The record is from Rfam by way of RNAcentral. Lineage: Eukaryota; Metazoa; Chordata; Mammalia; Rodentia; Cricetidae.